GUCUGCAACUCGACUACAUGAAGCUGGAAUCGCUAGUAAUCGCGAAUCAGAAUGUCGCGGUGAAUACGUUCCCGGGUCUUGUACACACCGCCCGUCACACCAUGGGAGUCGGAAAUGCCCGAAGCCGGUGACUCAACCGCAAGGAGAGAGCCGUCGAAGGCAGGUCUGAUAACUGGGGUGAAGUCGUAACAAGGUACC
RNAcentral lists this ribosomal RNA (198 nucleotides) under uncultured bacterium. Its description in RNAcentral is "partial 16S ribosomal RNA". It matches the Rfam family "Bacterial small subunit ribosomal RNA", at positions 1303 to 1500 of the family's 1533-position model. The record is from RNAcentral.